UAGGGAAUUUUGCGCAAUGGGCGAAAGCCAGACGCAGCAACGCCGCGUGAAUGAUUAAGCCCUUCGGGGUGUAAAGUUCUGUCAGUGGGGACGAAACUUGACGGUACCCACAGAGGAAGCACCGGCUAACUCCGUGCCAGCAGCCGCGGUAAUACGGAGGGUGCAAGCGUUGUCCGGAAUCAUUGGGCGUAAAGAGUUCGUAGGUGGUAUGUUAAGUCUGGUGUUAAAUCCCGAAGCUCAACUUCGGUCCGGCACCGGAUACUGGCAAACUUGAAUGCGGUAGAGGUAAAGGGAAUUCCUGGUGUAGCGGUGAAAUGCGUAGAUAUCAGGAGGAACAUCGGUGGCGUAAGCGCUUUACUGGGCCGUAAUUGACACUGAGGAACGAAAGCCGGGGUAGCAAAUG
Molecule: ribosomal RNA, 403 nt
Filed under: uncultured prokaryote
Description: bacterial SSU rRNA
Rfam family: Bacterial small subunit ribosomal RNA
Source: RNAcentral